This 505-nucleotide ribosomal RNA is filed under the name uncultured bacterium. Its description in RNAcentral is "partial 16S ribosomal RNA". It matches the Rfam family "Bacterial small subunit ribosomal RNA", at positions 899 to 1397 of the family's 1533-position model. The record is from RNAcentral.
ACUCAAAGGAAUAGACGGGGGCUCACACAAGCGGUGGAGGAUGUGGUUUAAUUCGAAGCAACGCGCAGAACCUUACCAGGUCUUGACAUACCGGGAUUAGUUCCGUGAAAGCGGGAUGAUUACUGUCAAAAGUGUAACCGGAACAGGUGCUGCAUGGCUGUCGUCAGCUCGUGCCGUGAGGUGUUAGGUUAAGUCCUUUAACGAGCGAAACCCCUACGAUUAGUUACCAGCGCGUCAUGGCGGGGACUCUAGUCGGACUGCCGCGCAAGUAGGAGGAAGGUGGGGACGACGUCAAGUCAUCAUGGCCUUUAUGACCUGGGCCACACACGUCCUACAAUGGAUGCGACAGAGGGUAGCAGAGCCGCAAGGUGAAGCCAAUCCCACAAACGCAUCCUCAGUUCAGAUUGUGGGCUGCAAUUCGCCCACAUGAAGCUGGAAUCGCUAGUAAUCGCGGAUCAGCUACGCCGCGGUGAAUAUGUUCCUGAGCCUUGUACACACCGCCCGU